This 757-nucleotide ribosomal RNA is filed under the name uncultured Actinomyces sp. RNAcentral's name for it is "bacterial SSU rRNA". It matches the Rfam family "Bacterial small subunit ribosomal RNA", at positions 28 to 776 of the family's 1533-position model. The record is from RNAcentral. Lineage: Bacteria; Bacillati; Actinomycetota; Actinomycetes; Actinomycetales; Actinomycetaceae.
GACGAACGCUGGCGGCGUGCUUAACACAUGCAAGUCGAACGAAAAUACCAAGCUUGCUUGGUUGAUUAGUGGCGAACGGGUGAGUAACACGUGAGUAACCUGCCCCUUACUUUCCUGGAUAACUGCUCGAAAGGGUAGCUAAUACGGGAUAUUCUGACCAGUCUGCAUGGGUUGGUUUGGAAAGGUUGUUUUUCUGGUAAGGGAUGGGCUCGCGGCCUAUCAGCUUGUUGGUGGGGUGAUGGCCUACCAAGGCUUUGACGGGUAGCCGGCCUGAGAGGGUGGACGGUCACACUGGGACUGAGAUACGGCCCAGACUCCUACGGGAGGCAGCAGUGGGGAAUAUUGCACAAUGGGCGCAAGCCUGAUGCAGCGACGCCGCGUGAGGGAUGAAGGCCUUCGGGUUGUAAACCUCUUUCGUCAGGGAACAAGGCACUGCUUUUUUGGUGGUGUUGAGGGUACCUGGAUAAGAAGCGCCGGCUAACUACGUGCCAGCAGCCGCGGUAAUACGUAGGGCGCAAGCGUUGUCCGGAAUUAUUGGGCGUAAAGAGCUCGUAGGCGGCUGGUCGCGUCUGCCGUGAAAACUUCCGGCUCAACCGGGGGCUUGCGGUGGGUACGGGCCGGCUAGAGUGCGGUAGGGGUAACUGGAACUCCUGGUGUAGCGGUGGAAUGCGCAGAUAUCAGGAAGAACACCGAUGGCGAAGGCAGGUUACUGGGCCGUUACUGACGCUGAGGAGCGAAAGCGUGGGGAGCGAACAGG